GAUGAACGCUGGCGGCGUGCUUAACACAUGCAAGUCGAACGGAAAGGCCCAAGCUUGCUUGGGUACUCGAGUGGCGAACGGGUGAGUAACACGUGGGUGAUCUGCCCUGCACUUCGGGAUAAGCCUGGGAAACUGGGUCUAAUACCGGAUAGGACCACUUCUUGGAUGUUGUCGUGGAAAGUUUUUUCGGUGUGGGAUGAGCUCGCGGCCUAUCAGCUUGUUGGUGGGGUAAUGGCCUACCAAGGCGUCGACGGGUAGCCGGCCUGAGAGGGUGUACGGCCACAUUGGGACUGAGAUACGGCCCAGACUCCUACGGGAGGCAGCAGUGGGGAAUAUUGCACAAUGGGCGCAAGCCUGAUGCAGCGACGCCGCGUGGGGGAUGACGGCCUUCGGGUUGUAAACUCCUUUCGCUAGGGACGAAGCGUUUUGUGACGGUACCUGGAGAAGAAGCACCGGCUAACUACGUG
RNAcentral lists this ribosomal RNA (467 nucleotides) under uncultured bacterium. RNAcentral's name for it is "partial 16S ribosomal RNA". It matches the Rfam family "Bacterial small subunit ribosomal RNA", at positions 28 to 507 of the family's 1533-position model. The record is from RNAcentral.